GUCAAAAAGACGGGUCUCCAAAGCCAACGGUCUCCUGUACCAUGUGGAUCUCUGCAAGCAGAGCCUCAUCUUUCAGUUUCAGCUGCAUGAGAGGAAGGAAGGGAAGGACGUUUGUCAUGCCUGAUACAGCUAUGUAGAGACCCCUACAUAGCUGUGGGGCCACAGCUAAAGGUCGUAAUUCCUUGGGAUGGAAUUGGCCUUUCCUAUAUUCCCUACCUCAUGGAAAUGCCAUGAAAGGAACUCAGAACAUUUUGCUGGUUACAUGUUCACUUUAUGAAAAUUCAUCAAGUGAAAAAGUUUGCUGACCCUUGGACUAGACUAACACCUUCAUUUUACACAUGAGGAAAAUAAGGCCCAGUAAGUUAACGACAAAACUAGGACCAUCACUCAGGAAUACUGAUUCCCAGGCCAUCUGUCCUUCUAUUAAACCAAAUUCUCUAAAGAAGUACAAAAAAAGAACCCCCAUGGUAACCUGUGGGUUAUUAUUCCAAAUCCAGCAUCCCUGUGAUAAUGGCAAAGAUGGUAAGAAAAGCCUCUAGAAAAAUAAUAUGAAAUGCUGUAAAGGCCUGAAUUAAACCAGCACCUUCCUCCCAGUUUUCCAGCCUCAAUACAGAACAAACAGCAGAGGCACCUGCAUCAUACCUUCACUGUGUACUUGUAGGCCUGCUCAGCUUCCAGCUGCCGUCCAGCCUGAAAAAGGAGAAGCACCUGGUGGUAAUGACAUAAACAUGGUGGGGAAGUGCAUUGCCACAAACAUUUCUGCCUAAAGCAGAGAAUUCCACAUCUUAGUUAAGAAUCUUUGAAUUUAUAUAUAUCUAUGAAAAAAAUCUCUCCACUUCAAAAAGCUUAAAGACAACACAGCAUUUUUUCCUUUCAGAGUUUAUUUAAAUUAUUCUGCUAAUAAUAGCUAAUACAUAGUGCUUACUUUGUGGUUUACAUUGUUUUAAUUGUUUAUAUUGCUGUAAGUGCUUUACAUACUCUCACUCCUAACCCUCAAAACAAACCUAGGGUAUAACGUCUAUUCCUAAUUCCUGGUUUACAGACAGAGAAACCUAAACACAGUAACUUACCAGGGUGUCUUGUGCCAGUCUCAGACUAUGAAAAGUAUUAAAAGAAAAAAUUCAUGCAAGUAAA
Molecule: non-coding RNA, 1134 nt
Organism: Manis javanica (Malayan pangolin)
Lineage: Eukaryota; Metazoa; Chordata; Mammalia; Pholidota; Manidae
Source: RefSeq, a predicted model, not a curated record